Molecule: ribosomal RNA, 294 nt
Filed under: uncultured bacterium
Lineage: Bacteria
Description: partial 16S ribosomal RNA
Rfam family: Bacterial small subunit ribosomal RNA
Source: RNAcentral
UUUCCUACGGGGCGCAGCAGUGGGGAAUAUUGGGCAAUGGGCGAAAGCCUGACCCAGCAACGCCGCGUGAAGGAAGAAGGCUUUCGGGUUGUAAACUUCUUUUGACAGGGAAGAGCAGAAGACGGUACCUGUCGAAUAAGCCACGGCUAACUACGAGCCAGCAGCCGCGGUAAUACGUAGGUGGCAAGAGUUGUCCGGAUUUACUGGGCGUAAAGGGCGGGUAGCCGGGCUGACAAGUCAGAUGUGAAAUCCGGGGGCUCAACCCCCGAACUGCAUUUGAAACUGUUGGUAUUG